UCUAGAGAAGACGAACCUCUGGAAGUUCAUUCUGCACCUGACUCGAAUUCUCAAGAACCUCAAAAGGCUCUCAAAUUAGCCUUCACACUUCCUGCUUCUUGUUAUGCCACAAUGGCCAUUCGAGAGCUUCUCAAGACAUCGACUUCUGUUGCAUUCCACAAGACACUCAACUAAUAAACUUGUUUCCAUUCAUAUAGUUUACGAGAUUAGGAUCAACCCUCCGUGUUAAUCAGGAACGAGAAAACAAGGUUUAUUCCGGUACAAAUGGUUCUUUUUGGGUACAUGUUAGGUCCAUGUUUUUAUACAUUUGACAUACUUUACUCCCUGUGCCAACUAGCGUAUUCUUUUUCGAACUGGUAUUUAUGAUCUUAUAGUCAAAGGACAUGUUUCUGGAUUACUCGGCUCACUGUUUUCACUUAACAACGCUAGUCGUAUGUUUAGUACACAAAUAUAAUCCCUGUAGACAUGGUAGGAAAUAGCUUUCCUAUUACCUG
Hibiscus syriacus is the source of this 494-nucleotide long non-coding RNA. RefSeq lists it as uncharacterized. The record is from RefSeq and is a predicted model, not a curated record. NCBI's taxonomy places the organism in Eukaryota, Viridiplantae, Streptophyta, Magnoliopsida, Malvales, Malvaceae. The transcript is spliced from 2 exons.